GGGUUGUGAGGUUAAGCGACUAAGCGUACACGGUGGAUGCCCUGGCAGUCAGAGGCGAUGAAGGGCGUGCUAAUCUGCGAUAAGCGCCGGUAAGGUGAUAUGAACCGUUAUAACCGGCGAUACCCGAAUGGGGAAACCCAGUGUGACUCGUCACACUAUCAUUAACUGAAUCCAUAGGUUAAUGAGGCGAACCGGGGGAACUGAAACAUCUAAGUACCCCGAGGAAAAGAAAUCAACCGAGAUUCCCCCAGUAGCGGCGAGCGAACGGGGAGGAGCCCAGAGCCUGAAUCAGCAUGUGUGUUAGUGGAAGCGUCUGGAAAGGCGCGCGAUACAGGGUGACAGCCCCGUACACAAAAGCGCAUGUGCUGUGAGCUCGAUGAGUAGGGCGGGACACGUGGUAUCCUGUCUGAAUAUGGGGGGACCAUCCUCCAAGGCUAAAUACUCCUGACUGACCGAUAGUGAACCAGUACCGUGAGGGAAAGGCGAAAAGAACCCCGGCGAGGGGAGUGAAAAAGAACCUGAAACCGUGUACGUACAAGCAGUGGGAGCACAGGUUUACCUGUGUGACUGCGUACCUUUUGUAUAAUGGGUCAGCGACUUAUAUUCUGUAGCAAGGUUAACCGAAUAGGGGAGCCGGAGGGAAACCGAGUCUUAAUUGGGCGUUAAGUUGCAGGGUAUAGACCCGAAACCCGGUGAUCUAGCCAUGGGCAGGUUGAAGGUUGGGUAACACUAACUGGAGGACCGAACCGACUAAUGUUGAAAAAUUAGCGGAUGACCUGUGGCUGGGGGUGAAAGGCCAAUCAAACCGGGAGAUAGCUGGUUCUCCCCGAAAGCUAUUUAGGUAGCGCCUCGUGAAUUCAUCUCCGGGGGUAGAGCACUGUUUCGGCUAGGGGGCCAUCCCGGCUUACCAACCCGAUGCAAACUGCGAAUACCGGAGAAUGUUAUCACGGGAGACACACGGCGGGUGCUAACGUCCGUCGUGAAGAGGGAAACAACCCAGACCGCCAGCUAAGGUCCCAAAGUCAUGGUUAAGUGGGAAACGAUGUGGGAAGGCCCAGACAGCCAGGAUGUUGGCUUAGAAGCAGCCAUCAUUUAAAGAAAGCGUAAUAGCUCACUGGUCGAGUCGGCCUGCGCGGAAGAUGUAACGGGGCUAAACCAUG
RNAcentral lists this ribosomal RNA (1160 nucleotides) under Salmonella enterica. RNAcentral's name for it is "partial 23S ribosomal RNA". It matches the Rfam family "Bacterial large subunit ribosomal RNA", at positions 1 to 1191 of the family's 2925-position model. The record is from RNAcentral. RNAcentral also lists the same sequence under 4 other names. Lineage: Bacteria; Pseudomonadati; Pseudomonadota; Gammaproteobacteria; Enterobacterales; Enterobacteriaceae.